RNAcentral lists this ribosomal RNA (518 nucleotides) under Penicillium sp. HCX-2014. Its description in RNAcentral is "eukaryotic LSU rRNA". The stretch from base 149 to 301 matches the Rfam family "5.8S ribosomal RNA". The record is from RNAcentral. Lineage: Eukaryota; Fungi; Ascomycota; Eurotiomycetes; Eurotiales; Aspergillaceae.
CCCACCCGUGUUUAUUUUACCUUGUUGCUUCGGCGGGCCCGCCUUAACUGGCCGCCGGGGGGCUUACGCCCCCGGGCCCGCGCCCGCCGAAGACACCCUCGAACUCUGUCUGAAGAUUGUAGUCUGAGUGAAAAUAUAAAUUAUUUAAAACUUUCAACAACGGAUCUCUUGGUUCCGGCAUCGAUGAAGAACGCAGCGAAAUGCGAUACGUAAUGUGAAUUGCAAAUUCAGUGAAUCAUCGAGUCUUUGAACGCACAUUGCGCCCCCUGGUAUUCCGGGGGGCAUGCCUGUCCGAGCGUCAUUGCUGCCCUCAAGCACGGCUUGUGUGUUGGGCCCCGUCCUCCGAUCCCGGGGGACGGGCCCGAAAGGCAGCGGCGGCACCGCGUCCGGUCCUCGAGCGUAUGGGGCUUUGUCACCCGCUCUGUAGGCCCGGCCGGCGCUUGCCGAUCAACCCAAAUUUUUAUCCAGGUUGACCUCGGAUCAGGUAGGGAUACCCGCUGAACUUAAGCAUAUCAAUA